UACGUAGGGUGCGAGCGUUAAUCGGAAUUACUGGGCGUAAAGCGUGCGCAGGCGGUUUUGUAAGCCAGAUGUGAAAGCCCCGGGCUCAACCUGGGAAUGGCAUUUGGGACUGCAGGGCUUGAGUGCGGCAGAGGAGACUGGAAUUCCUGGUGUAGCAGUGAAAUGCGUAGAUAUCAGGAGGAAUACCGAUGGCGAAGGCAGGUCUCUGGGCUGACACUGACGCUCAUGCACGAAAGCGUGGGGAGCAAACAGG
Molecule: ribosomal RNA, 253 nt
Filed under: uncultured bacterium
Lineage: Bacteria
Description: partial 16S ribosomal RNA
Rfam family: Bacterial small subunit ribosomal RNA
Source: RNAcentral